UACGAAGGGGGCUAGCGUUGCUCGGAAUUACUGGGCGUAAAGGGCGCGUAGGCCGCACGGUAAGUCAGAUGUGAAAUCCCCGGGCUCAACCUGGGAACUGCAUUUGUGACUGCACGGCUGGAGUGCGGCAGAGGGGGAUGGAAUUCCGCGUGUAGCAGUGAAAUGCGUAGAUAUGCGGAGGAACACCGAUGGCGAAGGCAAUCCCCUGGGCCUGCACUGACGCUCAUGCACGAAAGCGUGGGGAGCAAACAGG
This 253-nucleotide ribosomal RNA is filed under the name uncultured bacterium. Its description in RNAcentral is "partial 16S ribosomal RNA". It matches the Rfam family "Bacterial small subunit ribosomal RNA", at positions 524 to 776 of the family's 1533-position model. The record is from RNAcentral.